This 230-nucleotide ribosomal RNA is filed under the name uncultured bacterium. RNAcentral describes it as "partial 16S ribosomal RNA". It matches the Rfam family "Bacterial small subunit ribosomal RNA", at positions 562 to 791 of the family's 1533-position model. The record is from RNAcentral.
AAAGGGCGCGUAGGCGGAAUGCUUUGUCGGGCGUGAAAUUCCAGGGCUUAACCUUGGGACUGCGUUCGAGACGGGUAUUCUAGAGUGGAGAAGAGGGUCGUGGAAUUCCCAGUGUAGAGGUGAAAUUCGUAGAUAUUGGGAAGAACACCGGUGGCGAAGGCGGCGACCUGGUCUUUUACUGACGCUGAGGCGCGAAAGCGUGGGGAGCAAACAGGAUUAGAUACCCCUGU